AAGUCGUAACAAGGUUUCCGUAGGUGAACCUGCGGAAGGAUCAUUAUUGAAAUAAAUCUGAUGGGUUGUUGCUGGUUCUCUAGGGAGCAUGUGCACGCUUGUCAUCUUUAUAUCUCCACCUGUGCACCUUUUGUAGAUCUGAAUAGCUUUCUGAAUGCCUAGCAUUUGGGUUUGAAGAUUGACUUUGUUGUCUUUCUUUACAUUUUCAGGUCUAUGUUUCUUCAUAUACCCCAAUGUAUGUUAUAGAGUGUAAUAAACGGGCCUUUGUGCCUAUAAACUUAUACAACUUUCAGCAACGGAUCUCUUGGUUCUC
Molecule: unclassified non-coding RNA, 313 nt
Filed under: air metagenome
Description: partial contains small subunit ribosomal RNA, internal transcribed spacer 1, and 5.8S ribosomal RNA
Rfam family: Eukaryotic small subunit ribosomal RNA (bases 1-46)
Source: RNAcentral